UACGGAGGGUGCUAGCGUUGUUCGGAUUUACUGGGCGUAAAGGGCGCGUAGGCGGAUUUUUAAGUCGGGGGUGAAAUCCCGGAGCUCAACUCCGGAACUGCCUUCGAUACUGAAAGUCUGGAGCACGGUAGAGGUGAGUGGAAUUCCGAGUGUAGAGGUGAAAUUCGUAGAUAUUCGGAGGAAAACCAGUGGCGAAGGCGGCUCACUGGACCGUUGCUGACGCUGAGGCGCGAAAGCGUGGGGAGGAAACAGG
Molecule: ribosomal RNA, 253 nt
Filed under: uncultured bacterium
Lineage: Bacteria
Description: partial 16S ribosomal RNA
Rfam family: Bacterial small subunit ribosomal RNA
Source: RNAcentral